Molecule: transfer RNA, 73 nt
Filed under: Sporolithon durum
Lineage: Eukaryota; Rhodophyta; Florideophyceae; Sporolithales; Sporolithaceae
Description: tRNA-Ala
Rfam family: tRNA
About the family: Transfer RNA (tRNA) molecules are approximately 80 nucleotides in length. Their secondary structure includes four short double-helical elements and three loops (D, anti-codon, and T loops). Further hydrogen bonds mediate the characteristic L-shaped molecular structure. tRNAs have two regions of fundamental functional importance: the anti-codon, which is responsible for specific mRNA codon recognition, and the 3' end, to which the tRNAs corresponding amino acid is attached (by aminoacyl-tRNA synthetases). tRNAs cope with the degeneracy of the genetic code in two manners: having more than one tRNA (with a specific anti-codon) for a particular amino acid; and 'wobble' base-pairing, i.e. permitting non-standard base-pairing at the 3rd anti-codon position.
Source: RNAcentral
GGGGGUGUAGUUUAAUUGAAAAAACAUAUGUUUUGCAAACAUAAAACUAUCAGUUUGAAUCUGGUUACUUCCA